UCUCUCUCUCUCCGCAAAGAGGUCUCCAAAAAGAAGAAGAAGAAGAAGAAGCAACGACUCUCAGACAGACGGAGGAAAGAAGAAGCAGCGGCGCGGCGGGAAUGAUCCGCGCGAAUCGUCGUCAAAAGCGGAAGCGAACAAUGGCUGUACUGCUUGAAGAGAGCAACCGAGCUGUAUAACGGCUAGAGGACACACGAGGAUGCAGGGAUGAUCGAAGAGGAAAUCGCGGAACUUGUUACACUCGCGCUCGACGUGGGGCUCGCGGCAGAGACAGGUCGGCUUGAAGUAUUGAAAGGCCUGCAGACUCCGCAACGCCGCCUGGCACUUGGUCACCGUCAUCGUCGAACAUGCCACUCACCGCCUCUCGGAGCGAACAAUCCGAUUUUCCGCACACACACACACGCGUCUAAUAACGAUCUCACGCCCGCGGAGGCGCACCAGUCAAAUGGAAGAUUUACGAGCUCAAGCUAUGCAGGAAAAUUUCGCGGGUGAAAAUGGAUCUUUUAUGGCACCGGCAGCGCAUGAAUCUUUCGCCGCCGCCGUUGCGCGCACGAGAUGCGAGGGAAAAAGGUAGCGCAUGUAUGUAUAACUUUAGCGUCGCGCGCGGCAGCGCUCUAUCUCAAAUUAAACAUUAACUUCCGCUCUCG
This is a long non-coding RNA of Nasonia vitripennis (jewel wasp), 647 nucleotides long. RefSeq lists it as uncharacterized. The record is from RefSeq and is a predicted model, not a curated record. The transcript is spliced from 3 exons. NCBI's taxonomy places the organism in Eukaryota, Metazoa, Arthropoda, Insecta, Hymenoptera, Pteromalidae.